This 253-nucleotide ribosomal RNA is filed under the name uncultured prokaryote. RNAcentral describes it as "partial 16S ribosomal RNA". It matches the Rfam family "Bacterial small subunit ribosomal RNA", at positions 525 to 777 of the family's 1533-position model. The record is from RNAcentral.
ACAGAGGGUGCAAGCGUUAAUCGGAAUUACUGGGCGUAAAGCGCGCGUAGGUGGUUCGUUAAGUUGGAUGUGAAAGCCCCGGGCUCAACCUGGGAACUGCAUUCAAAACUGUCGAGCUAGAGUAUGGUAGAGGGUGGUGGAAUUUCCUGUGUAGCGGUGAAAUGCGUAGAUAUGUGGAGGAAUACCGAUGGCGAAGGCAGCCCCCUGGGAUAACACUGACGCUCAUGCACGAGAGCGUGGGGAGCAAACAGGA